UGAGGAAUCGCCACACUGUCUUCCACAAUGGUUGAACUAGUUUACAGUCCCACCAACAGUGUAAAAGCUAUUCUCCACAUCCUCUCCAGCAUCUGUUGUUUCCUGAUUUUUUAAUUAUCACCAUUCUAACUGGUGUGAGAUGGUAUCUCAUUGUGGUUUUGAUUUGCAUUUCUCUGACGACCAGCGAUGACGAGCAUUUUUUCAUGUGUCUGUUCACUGCAUAAAUGUCUAUAAAUGUCUUCUUUUGGAAAGUGUCUGUUCAUAUCCUUUGCCCACUUUUUGAUGGGGCUGCUUUACUUUUUCUUGUAAAUUUGUUUAAGUUCUUUUUAGAUUCUGGAUAUUAG
RNAcentral lists this long non-coding RNA (344 nucleotides) under Homo sapiens (human). RNAcentral describes it as "non-protein coding lnc-PTEN-2:1". Lineage: Eukaryota; Metazoa; Chordata; Mammalia; Primates; Hominidae. The record is from RNAcentral.